GAGGUCCAGCUGCAGCAGUCUGGACCUGAGCUGGUGAAGCCUGGGGCUUCAGUGAAGAUAUCCAGCAAGACUUCUGGUUAAACUUUUACUGGCUACUACAUGCACUGGGUGAAGCAGAGCCAUGGAAAGAGCCUUGAGUGGAUUUGAUAUAUUGAUCCUUACGAUGGUGUUACUAGCUACAAUAAGAAGUUCAAGAGAAAGGCCACGUUGACUGUAGACAAGUCCUCCAGCACAGCCUACAUGGAGCUCUGAAACCUGACAUCUGAGGAAACUGAAGUCUAUUACUGUGUAAGA
Molecule: non-coding RNA, 294 nt
Organism: Mus musculus (house mouse)
Lineage: Eukaryota; Metazoa; Chordata; Mammalia; Rodentia; Muridae
Source: the annotation of a RefSeq genome assembly